AAUUCAAAUAUCAUCCAUUGUAAUUUCAAUUAAUUAUUUUCCAAGUCUAACAUAAAGUUCAACAUGAAUAUCCAAGUUUUUGUAGUGUCCACAAGAAAAAUUAAACAGUUUGAAUGUCCAUAUAUAAUGAUCAAGAGUUGUUUUCAGCUCUUUCUGUCCCUAAGCUAGUGUUGCCUUGAAUCAAUCAAAAAAAAUCUUGAUUGUUGACCAACUUGUUCAUUAUAUUCUCAAGAUUGUCAAUCUGUUUGUCUUGUGCCGGAAUGGUUGAUUAAAACUCUUCAUUCUUAGAGCGAGACGCUUCUAACUAUGUUUUGCCAAUGAAAUUUUUUCUUUCUCGCUGGAUGAAGACUUCUCUGCUCGAUGAACAAAUCCAAAACCAAGUAAUCUCCCUACCUUCUUGCCCAACACUAGAGUUAUAAUCUCCCUUUUAUCAGUACAACAUUUCCAUAUUCUACUUCCAUCUCAUAGAUGCAUUCAAUCUCAAGUGAUUUCAUUUCAUUGUGUGAAAUUAACAACAAAUGUAAAUAAUUCAAAGGUAAUCCCAAAUUUAAAAACAAAUUAAGGUUUGUAUAACUUACGUAUGUAGAUUCAUUUUCAGGUUGUACCUACUCGUUUGUUCGCCUUUUCUGAUGUGUGAUUUUCUAACCUUCAAUUGGAUCUCCCUGAAAAUCAAAUCAAAUCCUAAACUCAACAAUGAUAAAUAUGAUUUCUAAAAAUAAACACUGGCUAAUACACCGGAACACAAAUAAAUCCAUUUGAACAAAUGAAUAAAAACACACCCAACUUGAUUUAAUAGAGGGGAAAAAAAUAAAGCUUCUAAAAUCAGUAGGGAGCAAAUCCCCAAAUUAAGAACUAAAAAGCCAAUAAAGUCCCCAUGUGUUCUGACCUGGUCAGGAGACCAAAAUCGAUAGAUCCUUCGCAAAACCCCAGACAAAAGCAAAGAAACCCCACAACACAACAUAACGAAUUACUCCUAUCGUGAUCAAAGAUGAAAAGAGAUGGUAUCAUAUUUUCAUCCAUUCAACACCAAUGAAAAAAUAUAGCAACAAAUGAUAAGAAAGUAAAACAUGCUAAUAUGAACAAAGGAAAAACAGAACUCCCCAACUAACCCUGAUUACCACAAAGGAAGUAGAUUGCAGGUAAGUGUUUGUUUGUUUUAAAAUCAGAGAAGACCUAUUUCAAGAAUUUCUUAAUUUAGUGAUUUUAGAUGUUUUUUGAGGAGUAUAUUAUUGCGUAAUGUAAGAAGAGGAGAGGUUGUCAACCUAUUAGGAUCCUUAUGCAUGUUGCAAAGGCAAAUGGGAAGAAUGACCUUAAUGUGAAGAAAUCUAAAAAGAGCACAAAAUAUGCAUGUGCUUCGGUUAUAAAGCCAACUACUUUAGGCAAGGUCUGCUCAGAUAUAACAUUUCCAUCUAUUGCAUUUCAAACUUUAAAUUUUAUGUUGCAUCAACAGAUUUAGUGAGAAAAAUCACCAGAGUGAACAAUUCAGGCAGGAAAAGUGAUUCAAAAUCUCAACACAAGCCUCCAAUAAUGAAGGGCAGUGAGAAAGGAACAAAAAAUAGCAAGUUACGAAUUUGAAGAAAACACAAUGAACUUGACAAGGCGUUGAUGUGCAAUAAGAAGAGGGAAGCUUCUGUAGAGAAAAUUGAUAACAAGAAAUGUAAGGUUCUUUCAGGGUUUCUAAUGAAAAGAGAAAAGAAUUGCCGAAGGCCUACAACACACAAGAAGAAAGCAACUGCCAAAAGAAAGCCAGCAGAUGAAUUUCGUUGUGAAGAUGUGAAUUUUUCUAUAUCAUCCGAGACUACUUUAAAAUUUUGUGCAAUUAUUCCACUGUCUUCCAUGGAUUCCAACAUCUUUUACAUUUAGAAGAGCAAGAAAGGCUAAACCUACCAAUAUUGCAUUUAAGACAUGCUAUUUUCUUGAAAUGAUUGUGCCUGUGUUAUAAGUUCUUGGUUUAAAGAAAGGGCAAUCAGAAAUGUUACUUGUAGAAUGAGCAUGUUGCAAGAGUUCACAUCGAAAAUACGACGUUUCAGUUGUUCAAAUGCAUAUCAAAUUGCUCUCUUUAAUACAACAAAAUUGAGGAAAAGAGUACGUAGCUUUAUACUUGUUUCCAUGGUGUGUGUAAAAAAUCCUAAAUACAGCUUAAUUUUUUUGGCACUUAAUUUUAUUAUGUUUGCAUAGGUGAAGAACAUGAAGAAGCAGCUGAAAAUUAAAAGAUCCAAGUUGCUGAAGGUCUUAGGCUGCUUCACACAAGAUUACAAUCCUCAACAAAUUUAACCGAAUUGAAACAUAUAUAUAUAUAUAUAUAUAUAUAUAUAUAUAUAUAUAUAUAUAUAUAUAUAUAUAUAUAUAUAUACACACAUACCUUCUCUGAAUGAUGAAUAACAAAUGGUUUUGGCCCUCCACUGUGAAUAACAAUAUUGCCUCGAUUUUUCUUGUUAACUAAGUUUUCAGAAGUUCUCACGUGCACCAGAUGCCUCCAUAUAAUUUUUAAAUAGAAAGGAGAAACAUCAUGAUAAUGGUCAUAUAUAGCCCAAAAAAUACUUAGCUCGGAAAAUUCAACAUAAAAAACAAUCCUUCUAUGUUGUCCAAAAACAAAAUGAUGUACGCAUAUAUUCUCAAUUUUUUUAAUAAUUCACUAAUGUUCAGUUCAUUCGUUCUACAGAGACUCAGAGCUUCAAAAGGAACUUAAAAGGUUGAUAAUUUCUGAAAUCUCAUACAACCCCUUUUGUUAAACCAUGAUGCUUAGUUUUUUAUACAAAAUAAUUUGCUAAAAAACUACUAUUAGUUCUUUAAAAUCACCCCAAUUGUGUCUUUUAAAUCAAAAAUAUUUUUCAGAUAUGAAAUUACUGAGACACAAAAUGAAUCUAUUUACUCUCUCUUCAAAAUCUAUGGCUUCACUGAAACCCAAAUUUAAGAAAUAGCCCAGUACUGUUAUCUUUCCAUCCAGACGACACACUUAAACCCAAAUUUGAUUCCUUCAAUUCAUAUGGGUUUUCACCCACUAAACUUGAUAAAAAUACUCACUAGAGACCUUGGUAAUAUGAAACGCAGUCUUGAUAAUCAAAUUAAACCUUCAUGUGAGUUAUCUUCUAAUACAUAUAUGCACACAACUUGGUUUCAAGCAUUUGCAAAUUCUUAAUUGUAAACACUCUAGCCUCUAUGAGGCAUUUUAUCAAACACCAUAAAGGCGUAAAUUUAAAACUUCAGAUUUCAUAAUUGUUUAAGCAAAGUUUAGCUAGAAUUUUUCAUUCUUAUACACAAUUUUCCAACCAAACAGAGUAGCAUAGCAAUGAUUAUACAUACUCAACUACUUAUUUAAUAACAAUUAUAUAUAUAGUAACAAUUAUACCUGAUUUGGUUGUCCAAAAAUCAAAGCUCUCUCUCUCUCUCUCUCUCUCUUCAGUUAACCCAGCUUCUGCUCUUAUUGAAACUUCUCUUUUGAUAACUAUAGUUACUAGUAUCUCCAUGAUUUUAUUUCCUUCUUUUGGAAUGAAAUGGAAGGCUGCUUUUGUUUCUUUCUUAAUCUUGAACGAAAAAUUGAAGAGGCAGGGGAAUAGAAAAGGAGCAUGGGCUUCAGCU
Molecule: long non-coding RNA, 3579 nt
Filed under: Panax ginseng (ginseng)
Lineage: Eukaryota; Viridiplantae; Streptophyta; Magnoliopsida; Apiales; Araliaceae
Description: long non-coding RNA (PGIN_LNC012948)
Source: RNAcentral